RNAcentral lists this ribosomal RNA (168 nucleotides) under Pterogobius elapoides. RNAcentral describes it as "partial 12S rRNA". Lineage: Eukaryota; Metazoa; Chordata; Actinopteri; Gobiiformes; Gobiidae. The record is from RNAcentral.
CACCGCGGUUAUACGAGGGGCCCGAGUUGACAAAUGCCGGCGUAAAAUGUGGUCAAUAUACUAACCUACUAAAGCCAAACAUCUUCAGGGCUGUUAUACGCUACCGGAGACAGGAAACUCUUCCACGAAAGUGACUUUAAAUAAUAUUAUUCCACGAAAGUCGGGGAA